Molecule: transfer RNA, 69 nt
Organism: Ovis aries (sheep)
Lineage: Eukaryota; Metazoa; Chordata; Mammalia; Artiodactyla; Bovidae
Rfam family: tRNA
About the family: Transfer RNA (tRNA) molecules are approximately 80 nucleotides in length.
Source: Rfam
CCUGAUACCUCAGAGGGUAAAGAAUUUGCCUGCUAUGCAGGAAACCCAGGUUCGAUCCCUGGGUCAGGA